RNAcentral lists this ribosomal RNA (374 nucleotides) under uncultured bacterium. Its description in RNAcentral is "bacterial SSU rRNA". It matches the Rfam family "Bacterial small subunit ribosomal RNA", at positions 524 to 898 of the family's 1533-position model. The record is from RNAcentral.
UACGUAGGGUGCGAGCGUUAAUCGGAAUUACUGGGCGUAAAGCGUGCGCAGGCGGUUGUGUAAGACAGGCGUGAAAUCCCCGGGCUCAACCUGGGAAUGGCGCUUGUGACUGCACGGCUGGAGUGCGGCAGAGGGGGAUGGAAUUCCGCGUGUAGCAGUGAAAUGCGUAGAUAUGCGGAGGAACACCGAUGGCGAAGGCAGUCCCCUGGGCCUGCACUGACGCUCAUGCACGAAAGCGUGGGGAGCAAACAGGAUUAGAUACCCUGGUAGUCCACGCCCUAAACGAUGUCGACUGGUUGUUGGGCCUUAGGUGGCUCAGUAACGAAGCUAACGCGUGAAGUCGACCGCCUGGGGAGUACGGCCGCAAGGUUGAA